RNAcentral lists this unclassified non-coding RNA (531 nucleotides) under Hevea brasiliensis (rubber tree). Lineage: Eukaryota; Viridiplantae; Streptophyta; Magnoliopsida; Malpighiales; Euphorbiaceae. The record is from RNAcentral.
UGUAAAUGCGCUUAUCCCUCUCGCCUCACUCUAAACUUCUUUGAGAGCCUCAAACCUUCACCUAGAUCCCAUCGACAAAAAAAAAAUUAUAAAAAAAAUUCAAACUCUGUAUACUCUUAAGAAAAAACCCAAAAAAUCUCAGAAAUAGAGUUGAUUUAUUGAUUUGGGAUCAAACAAUGUUGUGUAGAGGGACGUUUCAAGCUGGCAAUGUUGCCAUUGGAGAUCAUAAUGAGUGUUACAAGAGAUUUUUCAAUUCAGUUUCAAUUGGGUGUAGAAAAUCGUUUGUUUCAUCUUGUUCGGUUGGGGCAAGGUCUGGUCCGGUGCUGGCGGUAGCUACUAAUGAGACGACUAAGACUAAGCAGAUGGCGUAUGAGCCAAGUCUUGCGGAUCGAUUGAGAUUGGGGACUAUGUCGGAGGAUGGAAUGUCGUAUAAGGAGAAGUUUAUUGUUAGGUGCUAUGAGGUUGGGAUUAACAAAACUGUAACUGUUGAAACUAUCGCCAAUCUCUUGCAGGAGGUUGGAUGCAACCAUG